AACGUAGGUUCCGAGCGUUAUCCGGAUUUACUGGGCGUAAAGCGCGUUCAGGCGGUUUGGCAAGUCGGGCAUGAAAUCUCUCGGCUCAACCGGGAGAGGUUGUCCGAUACUGCUGGACUUGAGGGCAGGAGGGGAGAGCGGAAUUCCUGGUGGAGCGGUGAAAUGCGUAGAUAUCGGGAGGAACACCAGUGGCGAAGGCGGCUAUCUGGACCAACACUGACACUGAGGCACAAAAGCGUGGGGAGCAAACAGG
This 253-nucleotide ribosomal RNA is filed under the name uncultured bacterium. RNAcentral's name for it is "partial 16S ribosomal RNA". It matches the Rfam family "Bacterial small subunit ribosomal RNA", at positions 524 to 776 of the family's 1533-position model. The record is from RNAcentral.